GCGAAAUUAACAGCAAUGAAAAUGGCGAAACGAAACUUGUGAAUCGUGCAUUUGCUCUUCAUGGUAGCUGCCAGAAAAUCGAAUCAAACUUACGGGACACUGGAUUACAGGUUGCUGCCACUACUCCAUGUGCCCGCAAUUGUCUUGCGUGUAUGAUUACACUUAUGUCGUCGCCCACCACGGCGGAAGUGUUUUGCGUACACGCGUUUCAGCAUGAAGCCUGCAGGUGGACGUAAAUUGUAGAAGGCAGCUAGUGGGGGAGAAGAUCAUGGUCAUAGGUCAUGUGACUCCUGGAGCUCCCAGUGGGCUCCCUUGUGGAGUACUUUUCAGAACACACACACACACACAGUUUGCUCACAGAACCAACGAGUAGGAUGUUGCUUGAAUACUGAGAGAAAAUGGCAUAACACAUACAAAUAUCGUGUGACACAUAUGACAAUAAAAACAUUUUUCACGAGG
Molecule: long non-coding RNA, 459 nt
Organism: Ornithodoros turicata
Lineage: Eukaryota; Metazoa; Arthropoda; Arachnida; Ixodida; Argasidae
Exons: 3
Source: RefSeq, a predicted model, not a curated record